RNAcentral lists this ribosomal RNA (494 nucleotides) under Kocuria rosea. Its description in RNAcentral is "bacterial SSU rRNA". It matches the Rfam family "Bacterial small subunit ribosomal RNA", at positions 93 to 599 of the family's 1533-position model. The record is from RNAcentral. Lineage: Bacteria; Bacillati; Actinomycetota; Actinomycetes; Micrococcales; Micrococcaceae.
UAGUGGCGAACGGGUGAGUAAUACGUGAGUAACCUGCCCUUGACUCUGGGAUAAGCCUGGGAAACUGGGUCUAAUACUGGAUACUACCUCUUGCCGCAUGGUGGGUGGUGGAAAGGGUUUUACUGGUUUUGGAUGGGCUCACGGCCUAUCAGCUUGUUGGUGGGGUAAUGGCUCACCAAGGCGACGACGGGUAGCCGGCCUGAGAGGGUGACCGGCCACACUGGGACUGAGACACGGCCCAGACUCCUACGGGAGGCAGCAGUGGGGAAUAUUGCACAAUGGGCGGAAGCCUGAUGCAGCGACGCCGCGUGAGGGAUGACGGCCUUCGGGUUGUAAACCUCUUUCAGUAGGGAAGAAGCGAGAGUGACGGUACCUGCAGAAGAAGCGCCGGCUAACUACGUGCCAGCAGCCGCGGUAAUACGUAGGGCGCAAGCGUUGUCCGGAAUUAUUGGGCGUAAAGAGCUCGUAGGCGGUUUGUCGCGUCUGCUGUGAAA